RNAcentral lists this ribosomal RNA (1202 nucleotides) under Escherichia coli. Its description in RNAcentral is "partial 23S ribosomal RNA". It matches the Rfam family "Bacterial large subunit ribosomal RNA", at positions 165 to 1407 of the family's 2925-position model. The record is from RNAcentral. Lineage: Bacteria; Pseudomonadati; Pseudomonadota; Gammaproteobacteria; Enterobacterales; Enterobacteriaceae.
CAUAGGUUAAUGAGGCGAACCGGGGGAACUGAAACAUCUAAGUACCCCGAGGAAAAGAAAUCAACCGAGAUUCCCCCAGUAGCGGCGAGCGAACGGGGAGGAGCCCAGAGCCUGAAUCAGUGUGUGUGUUAGUGGAAGCGUCUGGAAAGGCGCGCGAUACAGGGUGACAGCCCCGUACACAAAAAUGCACAUAUUGUGAGCUCGAUGAGUAGGGCGGGACACGUGGUAUCCUGUCUGAAUAUGGGGGGACCAUCCUCCAAGGCUAAAUACUCCUGACUGACCGAUAGUGAACCAGUACCGUGAGGGAAAGGCGAAAAGAACCCCGGCGAGGGGAGUGAAAAAGAACCUGAAACCGUGUACGUACAAGCAGUGGGAGCCUCUUUAUGGGGUGACUGCGUACCUUUUGUAUAAUGGGUCAGCGACUUAUAUUCUGUAGCAAGGUUAACCGAAUAGGGGAGCCGAAGGGAAACCGAGUCUUAACUGGGCGUUAAGUUGCAGGGUAUAGACCCGAAACCCGGUGAUCUAGCCAUGGGCAGGUUGAAGGUUGGGUAACACUAACUGGAGGACCGAACCGACUAAUGUUGAAAAAUUAGCGGAUGACUUGUGGCUGGGGGUGAAAGGCCAAUCAAACCGGGAGAUAGCUGGUUCUCCCCGAAAGCUAUUUAGGUAGCGCCUCGUGAAUUCAUCUCCGGGGGUAGAGCACUGUUUCGGCAAGGGGGUCAUCCCGACUUACCAACCCGAUGCAAACUGCGAAUACCGGAGAAUGUUAUCACGGGAGACACACGGCGGGUGCUAACGUCCGUCGUGAAGAGGGAAACAACCCAGACCGCCAGCUAAGGUCCCAAAGUCAUGGUUAAGUGGGAAACGAUGUGGGAAGGCCCAGACAGCCAGGAUGUUGGCUUAGAAGCAGCCAUCAUUUAAAGAAAGCGUAAUAGCUCACUGGUCGAGUCGGCCUGCGCGGAAGAUGUAACGGGGCUAAACCAUGCACCGAAGCUGCGGCAGCGACACUAUGUGUUGUUGGGUAGGGGAGCGUUCUGUAAGCCUGUGAAGGUGGCCUGUGAGGGUUGCUGGAGGUAUCAGAAGUGCGAAUGCUGACAUAAGUAACGAUAAAGCGGGUGAAAAGCCCGCUCGCCGGAAGACCAAGGGUUCCUGUCCAACGUUAAUCGGGGCAGGGUGAGUCGACCCCUAAGGCGAGGCCGAAA